CAUUGGUGCGAAAUCCAGCCUGGAAUGAGU
RNAcentral lists this transfer RNA (30 nucleotides) under Eutreptiella gymnastica. RNAcentral's name for it is "partial Selenocysteine transfer RNA". Lineage: Eukaryota; Euglenozoa; Euglenophyceae; Eutreptiales; Eutreptiaceae. The record is from RNAcentral.